Long non-coding RNA from Nicotiana attenuata, 517 nucleotides. RefSeq lists it as uncharacterized. The transcript has 3 exons. NCBI's taxonomy places the organism in Eukaryota, Viridiplantae, Streptophyta, Magnoliopsida, Solanales, Solanaceae. The record is from RefSeq and is a predicted model, not a curated record.
CAACAUUAAUAAAAUAAUAUCAUCUAUACCUAAUUGGACAUGCAAAGUUUAAGUUCUAAAUGGAAGUUGAGAACGAAAAAGUCACGAGAGAAAAGAUAAAAUUUCAGAAUCUUAUGUUACAUGAUGAAAGAGGAAAUUGCCACUGGAAGGAAAAUAAACUAACAAGGGAGAGAAAGUAUGAACUCGAGGGAGAUUCUAGAGCAGCAGAAUAAAGAUUGGUCGUAAUGGAAAAAAGAGAAAGGGGCAGGGGGCAGGCAAUUGAUGAAAGUGACAUCAAACGACUAUUGCCAAGGUGAUGCUAACUUGAUAGGUGAACAUUAAUUAGGUGUGGACUAAUAUUAGGCAUAUAUUGUGGGUUUUGUAUAGCUUUUAAUUGGGUUAUAUUCCUAUAUGCCCACGCACACAUACCCCUAUCAGUAUUGCACGAGCAAGCGACAAUAUGUGUAUGUGUGCAAAGUAUUGCGUUAGAACAUAUUUUACUUAAAGAUAUGUGUAUUGCCAAGUCAUUUUUCCUAUU